Molecule: ribosomal RNA, 1086 nt
Filed under: uncultured Rhodanobacter sp.
Lineage: Bacteria; Pseudomonadati; Pseudomonadota; Gammaproteobacteria; Lysobacterales; Rhodanobacteraceae
Description: bacterial SSU rRNA
Rfam family: Bacterial small subunit ribosomal RNA
Source: RNAcentral
GCCUAACACAUGCAAGUCGAACGGCAGCACAGGGGAGCUUGCUCCCUGGGUGGCGAGUGGCGGACGGGUGAGUAAUACAUCGGGACCUACCCAGACGUGGGGGAUAACCUCGGGAAACCGGGACUAAUACCGCAUACGUCCUACGGGAGAAAGCAGGGGAUCUUCGGACCUUGCGCGGUUGGACGGACCGAUGUUCGAUUAGCUAGUUGGUGGGGUAAAGGCCUACCAAGGCGACGAUCGAUAGCUGGUCUGAGAGGAUGAUCAGCCACAUUGGGACUGAGACACGGCCCAAACUCCUACGGGAGGCAGCAGUGGGGAAUAUUGGACAAUGGGCGCAAGCCUGAUCCAGCAAUGCCGCGUGUGUGAAGAAGGCCUUCGGGUUGUAAAGCACUUUUAUCAGGAGCGAAAUCGGCAAGGUUAAUACCCGUGUCGUCUGACGGUACCUGAGGAAUAAGCACCGGCUAAUUUCGUGCCAGCAGCCGCGGUAAUACGAAGGGUGCAAGCGUUAAUCGGAAUUACUGGGCGUAAAGGGUGCGUAGGCGGUUCGUUAAGUCUGUCGUGAAAUCCCCGGGCUCAACCUGGGAAUGGCGAUGGAUACUGGCGGGCUAGAGUGUGUCAGAGGAUGGUGGAAUUCCCGGUGUAGCGGUGAAAUGCGUAGAGAUCGGGAGGAACAUCAGUGGCGAAGGGGCCAUCUGGGACAAACUGACGCUGAAGCACGAAAGCGUGGGGAGCAAACAGGAUUAGAUACCCUGGUAUCCACGCCCUAAACGAUGCGACUGGGGUGUUUGACCCGAAUCUCGGAGAUCAGUGUCGAAGCUAACGCGUUAAGUUCGCCGCCUGGGGAGUACGGUCGCAAGACUGAAACUCAAAGGAAUUGACGGGGGCCCGCACGAGCGGUGGAGUAUGUGGUUUAAUUCGAUGCAACGCGAAGAACCUUACCUGGCCUUGACAUGUCGCGAAUCCUGCAGAGAUGCGGGAGUGCCUUCGGGAAUGCGAACACAGGUGCUGCAUGGCUGUCGUCAGCUCGUGUCGUGAGAUGUUGGGUUAAGUCCCGCAACGAGCGCAACCCUUGUCCUUAGUUGCCAG